Molecule: ribosomal RNA, 253 nt
Filed under: uncultured bacterium
Lineage: Bacteria
Description: partial 16S ribosomal RNA
Rfam family: Bacterial small subunit ribosomal RNA
Source: RNAcentral
UACGAAGGGGGCUAGCGUUGCUCGGAAUUACUGGGCGUAAAGGGCGCGUAGGCGGACAGUUUAGUCAGAGGUGAAAGCCCAGGGCUCAACCUUGGAAUUGCCUUUGAUACUGGCUGUCUUGAGUUCGGGAGAGGUGAGUGGAAUGCCGAGUGUAGAGGUGAAAUUCGUAGAUAUCGAGAGGAACACCGGUGGCGAAGGCGGCCAACUGGACAGAUACUGACGCUGAGACACGAAAGCGUGGGGAGCAAACAGG